AUGUCACAAUCUGAUAAGGGGAUGCCUCAAGUUGGCAUGUUCUUUAAAAGUUCACAGGAGGCUUGGAUGUUUUGGAGAGCAUAUGGUGGUCGUGUUGGCUUUCAUGUGAGGAAAAGGUACAACAAUGUGAGCAAAUUUGAUGGUAAGGUAACCUCUUGCAGAUUUGUUUGUGCCAAUGAAGGUCAUCGCAAAAAGGGGCAAAGAUAA
RNAcentral lists this ribosomal RNA (207 nucleotides) under Triticum aestivum (bread wheat). RNAcentral's name for it is "partial small subunit ribosomal RNA". The record is from RNAcentral. Lineage: Eukaryota; Viridiplantae; Streptophyta; Magnoliopsida; Poales; Poaceae.